UACAGAGGGUGCGAGCGUUAAUCGGAAUUACUGGGCGUAAAGCGUGCGCAGGCGGUGAUGUAAGACAGUUGUGAAAUCCCCGGGCUCAACCUGGGAACUGCAUCUGUGACUGCAUUGCUGGAGUGCGGCAGAGGGGGAUGGAAUUCCGCGUGUAGCAGUGAAAUGCGUAGAGAUGCGGAGGAACACCGAUGGCGAAGGCAGCCCCCUGGGCUGACACUGACGCUCAGGCACGAAAGCGUGGGGAGCAAACAGG
This 253-nucleotide ribosomal RNA is filed under the name uncultured bacterium. RNAcentral's name for it is "partial 16S ribosomal RNA". It matches the Rfam family "Bacterial small subunit ribosomal RNA", at positions 524 to 776 of the family's 1533-position model. The record is from RNAcentral.